AAUAAAUAUAGUUUUGCACUAUUCAUGUUCAAUGUCUGUUCAUCUUACUUGAAUUUUUUAUUAGUAUUAUUAUUAUUAUUAAAUGAUAAAAAUAUGAAUAGUACUUUAUACGUGAGUCUUUUUUUUCAUAAAUUUUUCAAAUAAUACGGACAGACAAACGUUGGAUACGAAUAUCCAUGGCUACACUUAUC
This 191-nucleotide microRNA precursor is filed under the name Oryza glumipatula. RNAcentral's name for it is "MIR812 microRNA precursor family". It matches the Rfam family "MIR812 microRNA precursor family". Lineage: Eukaryota; Viridiplantae; Streptophyta; Magnoliopsida; Poales; Poaceae. The record is from Rfam by way of RNAcentral.